This 467-nucleotide ribosomal RNA is filed under the name uncultured bacterium. Its description in RNAcentral is "partial 16S ribosomal RNA". It matches the Rfam family "Bacterial small subunit ribosomal RNA", at positions 28 to 507 of the family's 1533-position model. The record is from RNAcentral.
GACGAACGCUGGCGGCGUGCUUAACACAUGCAAGUCGAACGGAAAGGCCCUGCUUUUGUGGGGUGCUCGAGGGGCGAACGGGUGAGUAACACGUGAGUAACCUGCCCUUGACUUUGGGAUAACUUCAGGAAACUGGGCUAAUACCAGUAAAGAAUCCCUGCUACCGGGGGGGGGUUGGGAAGUUUCGGCGGUUGGGGCUUGAAUGGGGGCUUAUCAGCUUGGUUGGUGGGCAGUGGCUUACCAAGGCAUUGAGGGGUUGCCGGCCUGGGAGGGGGGACGGCCACAAUGGGACUGCGAUACGGCCCAGACGCGUACGGGAGGCAGCAGUGGGGAAUAUUGCACAAUGGGAGGAAGCCUGAUGCAGCAACGCCGCGUGCGGGAUGACGGCCUUCGGGUUGUAAACCGCUUUCGCCUGUGACGAAGCGUGAGUGACGGUAAUGGGUAAAGAAGCACCGGCUAACUACGUG